This 295-nucleotide long non-coding RNA is filed under the name Phoenix dactylifera (date palm). Its description in RNAcentral is "long non-coding RNA (PDAC_LNC016831)". The record is from RNAcentral. Lineage: Eukaryota; Viridiplantae; Streptophyta; Magnoliopsida; Arecales; Arecaceae.
UCACGUCCGACCCGUCCAUCUCGGCCGCGCCCGGGUGAUGCCUUCGGAGAAACGGUAGUCUCGGCAUCGAAGGGCUGAUACAGCGUCAACUCCCGGUCCGCGCCCGCGGCGUCCCCCUGAUCGGUGGGUCCGGACCCGUCUGUCGGCGUCGGAGUCGCCCGGCGGGACUUCUUCGCCGGUGGGGCCCCGCUCGGAGGAGCUCGUUUCUUCCUCCGGACUGCUUCCAGUAGGGACGUCCUACCAACAGCCGUUGCCUUGUCCGACCGCAUGACGUCGUCGAUCUCUGCAAAAAGGC